This 464-nucleotide ribosomal RNA is filed under the name uncultured bacterium. RNAcentral describes it as "partial 16S ribosomal RNA". It matches the Rfam family "Bacterial small subunit ribosomal RNA", at positions 339 to 795 of the family's 1533-position model. The record is from RNAcentral.
CUACGGGGUGCAGCAGUGAGGAAUUUUGCGCAAUGGGGGAAACCCUGACGCAGCAACGCCGCGUGAGCGAAGAAGGCCUUCGGGUCGUAAAGCUCUGUCAAGUGGGAAAAAACGCUUAAGAUUAAUAGUCUGCGGAAUUGAUGGUACCACUGGAGGAAGCACCGGCUAACUCCGUGCCAGCAGCCGCGGUAAUACGGAGGGUGCAAGCGUUGUUCGGAAUGACUGGGCGUAAAGCGCGUGCAGGCGGUUUGGCAAGUCAGAUGUGAAAGCCCUGGGCUUAACCCAGGAAGUGCAUUUGAAACUGCCUGUCUUGAGUAUGGGAGAGGGGAGUGGAAUUCCCAGUGUAGAGGUGAAAUUCGUAGAUAUUGGGAGGAACACCCGUGGCGAAGGCGACUCUCUGGACCAAUACUGACGCUGAGACGCGAAAGCGUGGGGAGCAAACAGGAUUAGAUACCCUUGUAGUC